Non-coding RNA from Cyanistes caeruleus (blue tit), 6796 nucleotides. The record is from RefSeq and is a predicted model, not a curated record. Lineage: Eukaryota; Metazoa; Chordata; Aves; Passeriformes; Paridae.
CAAAUCAAGAGAACUGAAAGCAGCUGGAACACAGGCCUUUCUCAGAGCUCGGGAUUGGAUCAAGCCCUAAUUAAACCUGCAUCCAAAAGGCUGGAUGGAGCUGCCUUUGCUCACACUAAUGAAGCUUCAGUUUUCCUCUAUUGUAUUGCUAUACCGUGGACUCCCACUUCUUUGCCCUGCACUGACAGCAAGUCUGAUCUCCAGUGCUAAAGACAGGUUUAUUUAAUGUCUUCUGGAGUUUUAUUUGUGUCUUACUAUGGAGCCUUCACAUCACAGGGCUCAGCUUCCCUCUCUGGGUAAAUAGGUAGAGGCUGAACAAGACAGCUCUCCCAAAGUGGGACUGUCACUGGAUGAUGGCUCUGUCUCUGUGAUAUUGAAAACAGACAUCAAGGCACUUUUCACUAACACAUUCCAUCAAUGCUAGAGACUUGUCACACAGGGAGCAAACACCAAGUGAAGCAAAGGAAGCAUUUACAAUUUGCUGCCAUGAAAGGAGACAAGAUAAAUCAAUAGGAACUAAAUUAGCACAGUCAGCGGCCCUCACACCUACUUUGGAAACUCUAUUAAAAUCCAUGGCCUAGAAUUUGCAGGAGGGAUUAUGUGCGUGAAGGGAUUUGUGGAUUGAUGACAGCAUCCCUCUGACAAGCUGAGGUACAGGAAGACUUGCUAAAAGCCAAGUGGAGUUCAGCUGGUUGAAGACCUCUCAUUAUCUGCCUUGCUUGCAUGUCUGCAUUUGGUGAUGUGCUGAAGUGCGGUAUCACCAAAGUUAGACCCACCAGAAACUCAAGACAACAAUGUGGAACGAUGGUGUCUCCCUGCUCUGAGCUAUCUCCGUUGGAAAGGAGAUGGAAAUGAAGACAAAUGGAAAGGUUGGAAAUGAAGACGUUGGAAAGGUUUUGGAAAUGAAGACAAAUGGAAAUGUAGCCCCUGGACUUGUUAUUACUGUUACUCAAAAGCCUCAGGCAUCCAAGCUCUGGCCUGUUUGGCCAGUUGCCCUAUGCUGCUGAGGAUGCUCUGCUCCUUUUCACUAGAAAGCAAAAGCAGUUUUGUGCCCAACAGGCGAUGGACUUUUCUCUUGCUUUUUUUUGGUCUCCUCCACUGCCUUCCCCUUCAAGAGGAGAGCAAAGGGUGGUGCAGCCUGUGGGUUUAACUGGACACCAUCCCUUUAAUGUGGACUUGUGUCCAAAAAUAAAUGCUACUGAAGGACUAAACAGAUGUGAAAAGAAGGCUUGGACACUUGGAAGACAAGACUGCUUUGUGUUUCCCAAAGCAAAGAGCCUGUUCACAAGGAGGUUACUUUUUUCGACAAACACUAGUCCUGUGACACUGCCAAGGCAUGGAACAUGCAUCAGUUGCCAAUGGAAGAGCUUCCAUCGAUCUUCCAUCUUUUUGGGACAGCAGUAUGGCCUUAGUGCUGUGAAUUGGCCCUGUACAGUCACUUUGAGCUAAGCCUCUGCUGCUUGUCCUGGCUGCAUGUCUGGGACAGGUCAAUCCACAGUCUUGGUGAGCUUUGCUUUCUUCAAGAACCAGGCAGAAUUCAAAGCAAAUAGCUUGGCACAGGCACCUCGUUUUCAGGUGAGCAAGGUCUGACUGCUGCAGCGAUCUCAGUGGGGCUAGGAGGCUUUGUACUUCACCUCAGGCACUUAACUAAUUCCUCAUAGAGUGCAGUAUGUUCUGAAGUGUGAUCUUUAUGUCUCAGUUAUCUAUAAAAUGAAAAUGCUAGUUCAUCCUGAGAAGGGUUACAGUGUCUCUCACACACACAAGAAAGGCAGGUGAAGUUCUUUCACUGUCUCUAAAGCUCUGAGCUCUGAGUCAUCCAGAGCCUCUGAGGACUCUGGUUGAAAUUUUAAGGGUACCUCAUUAUGGCUGAAUCUCCAGCACUGUCUGCAGUCACACGCCAAAGUAUUCAUCUCACAAAGGACAAAUGAUGAGAAAUUAAGCGAACAAAAGAGUGCAGUCAACUGCACUGAAGACCUGAGGAGCUGAAUGUGAUGGGAACUGGAUUCCAAAACUGGCUGGAAUGUGCAGGAGGACAAACCCUGAAGGGAAACACUCCAAAACUAGUGGGAUAAACAACCAGCCCCAAACAUAUGCAGGAGUUUGCUGAGAGCAGGCAAGCGAUGGGCAGGUCUCAGCAGCAAUGGGGUGUUCAGGUGCAGCCAGGGACUGAAAUCAGAGGUCUGGAGGGGAACCACUGCAGGAAAUGAUGAUCAUCAUCAAAUGUCUUUGGAGCCCAUCACCCUGCACAGGGCUGAGCCCCUGUGCCGGGGGCAUGCUCAGUCCAGCCGUUCGGGACCUGCUUUAUCAGCUACUCUGUCAUCUUUGCCAGGAGUGUGGCAUCAGAGACGAGUGUUGGGGCAAGACUGGAGGCACUAUUUGCCUCAGUCUUCCCAUUUUAAUUUGCUGAGGUUAGAAAAUAUAAGGGUAGAAUGAGAAAUGUCUAAUGUAAAGUUAUGAAUCAGAUUUUGAAAAGGAAAUGAAACAGAUGGUAGAAGGUUUCAGUUAGAUAAAUACAGAAGAGGAAAAGAGGAGAAACGUGGCCAUCAUGUAGUGAGAAUCAGAUUGAGAUUAGACCAGUCUACAUAUGGUCCAAAAUGAAUUAAAACCACUUUACCUAUGUUUUCAGCAGAGAUGAUUAUAUUGGACAAUGGGACAAAGAUGAGAUUCCUAGUAGGAACAUACUUAAGGGAAUGAAAAUUAUCACAUGUAAGACAGAAGGAAAAGCUUAAAGAAUUCCAUGUGCUCAGAUCAAGGUGCCCUGGCAGAUUUCCACCUCAGGAUUUGGAAAGAGCUGGCACUUUAAAGGAGCUCAGUGUAACCUUGUAUUUCUCUUUGAUGACUGACUUUUUUUCCCAAGACAAAUGAAAUACAGGUGAUACACUCUAUCCAGACAUGAGUCAAGAGUUUGAUAUUACACCACAUGGGAAAUCAGUAGUUGAAGUUGAGAAGAUGGGGAUUAGUGUGGAUGGCAAUGCAGAACUGCUAAAGCGAAGGACAGGGAGCUCUGUGGGAAGGAGAAAUGCCCGACAGAGAGUGGAACUCCUCAAGGGUCAGUCUUGAGCCAGUCUUGUUUUGUUAAUGACUCUGGCACAGCUGUAGGAAUGUCAUACAGAAAUUUGCUGAGGACACAGGCUUUGCUAAUAGAGAGAAGGAUCAGAACAUCAAUCAGCAAUAACUUAAUGACAGAAUUUGAGAUAGAAUAGACAAAGUAGAAAGACAGGCAGUUAAAAAUUAAUCACUAGAAUAUCACAUUACUCACUUGAGAAUGACAAAAGCAGGGUGGUAAAAAAAAAAAACACAUAGAGAGAAUUACUUGCUCUGAGGGAUAACUGUGAGCCACCAAUCUGAUAUGGAAAGGCAAACACAGUCCCAGAAGAUACAGGUUCACUCAUGUUCAAGGAAGAUUAGCAGGUACAGAGAAGGGCAUUAAGGAUGAUCAGAGGGUUUAGAACAAGAGGAGACUAGAAGAGGUUCAUUUGUUUAGUUUCUCAAAACAAAGACUAGAGCAGAUAGGAUUGUUUUUGGUAAAUACAUCUGAUAGGUAAAGAUCAGAGAAAAAAAGAGAACUGUUUAAACUAAAUUACGAUUCUGGCACAAGAACAAAUGAUAUUAGGGCUGGAAAUUGAAAAUGAAGUGUUAGAAUAGCCUGCCAAAAAGCGUGAUAUGAUGUAAUUGAUUGUGAUAGUGGGAGACUGGCUCAGUAAUGCUGAGCCCUGUGUUCCUAGAAACGUGCAGCAGACAGGAUUUUGGCAAAGUGGGCGCUGGCCUCUAACAAGGAGGAGGAGCCCUGUGCUGCCUGUGUGAGCAUGAGAAAGCGUAACUGGCCAGUCACCAGCUUUGGGGGGAAAAAAGGAAGCUUUGAUUUCAACAGCUAAAGUGAGGUCCUUCCCUCCUCCUCCCCUAUGGGAACUGGCAAACUCAGCUCUUUAAUGGUUCAAGUUCAUCUCAGCCUUGCCUAUAAAUAGAUAAAUGAGAUUCCUCCCGUCCCAGUGAGUAAUUCUGACAUCCUCCCGCUGCCUCAGAGAGCUGAGUCACAGGCACUCUGCACUCCAGUCCCUGCAUUACUUACAUGGUCUCAAAGGAAAUUUUAACACAUCCAGUGAAUCAUCAGGGAUUGGAUCAUGUUUAAAGUUAUUCCAUUGGCAUUUCCCUUCCAUUGUAGCAAGUCUGCCAAUACCUAAAACUUUGGCUAAUCUGGAUUCAAAACACAUUGAGGAAACAGCAUGUUGACAUAUACAGCUACUAAUAAAAAUAAUAAGAAGAACUCUUUAAAUUUGCACCAAAAAACAAAUGACCCAUAGUGGAUUUGUCUCUUGCUUUUGGACCUGUUAAUUUUGUCAGAUUCUUCCUUUUUUUGUAGCUGCUUAUUUAAAGGAACUUAAAAUUUGAAAUGUUUACUAUUCAGUCGUUAGGCCCCUAAUUUAAUCUCCUGCAGAUUUCCUGCCAAAAUAUUAUUUGCACUGAGAUGAAGCUUGCAGCCCCAUGUUCAUUCUGUCUCAGAGACAGACAUUCCUGGUAUUACCCAUAUGAAAAAUAAAAUGCCUGCAAAGCAAAGACAAAACCAGAGCAGUGUUAAGUAAAGAACACAGGGCAGUGAUACCUCACUGUAGGAGCCUCAUGGGGCAUUGUCACUUGUCACCUUGCCUUCUCCCCAGUGGUUCAGUGUGGUCUUAUUGACUUAGAAGUGACACAACAUUUGAAAUCAGAACAUCUGCCUCUCUCUCUCCCCCUCAGAAAACAUCUGGAAGAGUGGAAAAUUCUCCAGCAGAAUCUGGGGGCUGUGAAACAAAUACAGAAAUACUUCUCUCUGUUGGUUUUCUGGCUUGCCUUUCAUAUCUCAGAACCGGUUGGGACAUUUCAUUCAUUAUUACCAGACUUGGUUUCAGUCAGUGAGAAAUGCUAACAUUUGCUGGCUUGCUGCUGUAGUUUGGUAUUCUUAGACCUAAAACCUGGUUUGUUCUUUUGAUAACCCUAGGAAAUCUGUGUCUUAUUUAAAUAACAUUUUUCUAGUACCUUUUCAUCAGACAGUUCUCUGCCUGUGCACAGAUUGUUAAUAAGCGUUUGCUCCACACAUUCCAGUGUGAGCUGCAGUCGCUCCAUGAGACGCUUCUGUUGUGAGGCUUGUUGGGUUAUUUAUCAGCCCAGCACAGCUUUCACUGCCAGUUUGCUGCCAGCUGUUAACUAUACAAUAGCAUUGGGAACAAAAUCAGUUCUGGCUCUGCCAGCAGAGUUGGACAUAAUUCAGCUACCUGUUGAUAAAUGAUGAUUUGUUUAACAGCAUAAACUGUAAUAUUUUUGUAGCCAACAGUUUUCACCCUCCUCUGCAGCUGGUAAAAAAAACCUGAGGAAUUCCCAGAAGUUCCUCAUUUGUGUCUUUUUCAAGUUUUCUUACAGCAGUGUCUUGUACUGUUGUCUCUGUGCAGGAGAAGACAUCCUGAAUGGGUGAAGCAGUGGUGUCUGCAUGCUGCUGGAGUAAGGCAGCUGCAUUCCUUGGUGCCACUUGGCUGCACUCUGAAGCAGCAAUGCCCACUGGACAGCUGGGCUAUAGGGAUGCUCCAGGACAAGCCAGAGGCCUGAAAACAAGACAGGAUUUCUGUAAAGCAUUAAUCACCCCGUGCAGGGCUGGGCACUGGGAAUGGGGCAAGGGUGCUCUUGCAGCACACACAUGGUUUCUAUCUAAGCUUUGUUUCAGCUGGAUCUUUCCCACUAACACAUCCUUCUUUAACACCUUGUACUCAUUUACUUGGGGCUGUUUAGCAGCACAAAUCAAUUAAGUGCAGCAGAAACCCACUGAGACAGGGAGAGUUCCCUCUCUCUGGUUCGGCCGGGGUGGGAGGCACGCAGAGGUUAAGCUUGUGCUUUUUGCCACACAGGGAGUGAGGGUGGAGUGUGUAGCAGCCCCCAGCUCACCUCCUCUGUGGAUGCCAGCUCUCCCCAGCAGCCUCAGAGGGACUCACAGCUGCUCCAGGAGCUCUGAAGGCCUUGGGGAGCUUCUCAUCUGGCAUCAAAUAAUCAGAGAACUGGAGAGUGCCAGCCCUGUUGCUAUAUCCCACUGAGAUUGGCCAGGGAGCCUCACUGAACAGGGCUGAGCAGUCCUGAGGUACCAGCUGUGUCCUGUAGCAGGGACAGGGUACAGUGAAGGCCUCCAAGCUCACGUUCAUGUGUCUCACAGGUUUGUCCAUCAUGAAAUUGCCUGUACCUGCUGGGGAGGUCACUGCUCAGUGGUUUAACUGGUCCCACUGGCCAGAGGGACAUGCAGGGGUUUAGGAAGUAGCAAAGUCAUAAAAUAUGAAUGAGAACAGAGUCAGAAAAAAUGAGUGGCUUUAAAAUAAUCAUUUGUUUGGUCUUGUUCCAAGUGCAGCACCAGCUCAGCGUGCCAAGCAGAGCUCAGGAAGUGCCUUCCGGCUGUCAGCCCCAUGGGAACGGGAUGCAGGGAUGUGCCUCUGCUUCAGGCCAGGCUGGAGCUUCUCACACACAGCACAGGCCCCAGAAACAUGAGACAGUAAUUCAAGCCACAUGAUAAAGCUGAUCCACACAAUGAAGGAAGAUAAAGCCUAACCAAGCAAUUCCUGCUCCUCAUGGGUGUCUCUCAGGAGGGCCUGAGGCUGUAGGACAUGCCCUCAGCUCACAGAGACCAUUAAUCAUGAGUGUGCCAUAGUCCCUGGCUAUUUUAAUCACUGUUGAAAUACACACUCCUAAAAAUGGUAUUUGAUUCCAAUGCACAUGAUUUCCUUUGGCUUCCUUUCCCCCAGUUAAGUGCAAGCUGUAACUACUUGGAAGUCACACUGGGAUCCAU